Molecule: long non-coding RNA, 276 nt
Filed under: Ananas comosus (pineapple)
Lineage: Eukaryota; Viridiplantae; Streptophyta; Magnoliopsida; Poales; Bromeliaceae
Description: long non-coding RNA (ACOM_LNC025856)
Source: RNAcentral
UCACAACUCAUAACCUACAUUCACUAAAUCCAUAGACAAACGAUGCGAUACAUUUUCCAUCUAGCUAACCAUCCUUAGAAACUAUCCAUGCCCCUAAGCACUCCUUAGGCGCUGGAUGAUGCGAUGCACAAUACAACAAUCAUCCUAUUUAAAAAUACUCCCCACCCAGAAGCUUCGUUUUAAACUCUGAUUACUCAUUAAUAAAAAAUCAUUCGAAAAGCCUUUUAAAAACUGUUUCUCAUAUGAAAACUCAAUCUUUGAAAGCUGACUACCUUG